Molecule: non-coding RNA, 109 nt
Organism: Acanthosepion pharaonis
Lineage: Eukaryota; Metazoa; Mollusca; Cephalopoda; Sepiida; Sepiidae
Source: the annotation of a GenBank genome assembly
GCCAUAUCACAUUAAAACACCGCUUCUCCUACGAUUACAGAAGUUAACCAACAGCCAGCCAGGUUAGUAUCUAGAUGGGUGGCCGUUUGGGAAUACCAGGUGAUGUAAG